AACUUGAUCUUUAAGCCCUUCAACAUCAUGCCAAAUUUUAGCUUGAUCCAACUAGUAGAUCUCUAGAUAUCACAAAAAUUCUAUCCAACCUCAAAUUUUCAACUUCCAAAAUCCACUUGUGCUAAAAAUUAGAUAUCUCUAAACCUCAUUGUUAGAUUAUCACAAAAUUUUGUAUACACUUAGCACACUCAAUAAUCCAAACAAUAUCAAAUUUUGAACUAUAGAUGCUACACCAAUUGCACGAACUAGCCAAAUUUGUUAGCCCUAAUUAUAUUAUAUAAAACCCAAAUCACCAAUACAAACCCUGACUUUGAACAAUGGUUGCUAAGUCCUUAAUAACCUUCCAAAAACCACCUUUAUUCUUCUAGAAAGAACUUUAAGCUAGCUCUCAAGCUCUAAUCUUUUAUCUUCAAAUGAAAUCCUAUUUUGCCCUAGGCCACCGUUUCAGUAGCUAGAGGUCUGAUUUUGAUCCUAUCUCACAAAUGGUCGACCCCC
This 495-nucleotide long non-coding RNA is filed under the name Physcomitrium patens. RNAcentral describes it as "long non-coding RNA (PPAT_LNC010617)". The record is from RNAcentral. Lineage: Eukaryota; Viridiplantae; Streptophyta; Bryopsida; Funariales; Funariaceae.